GACGGAGCAAUACCGCGUGAGGGAGGGAGGCUCUUGGGUUGUAAACCUCUUUUCUCAGGGAAGAAGAUCUGACGGUACCUGAGGAAUCAGCAUCGGCUAACUCCGUGCCAGCAGCCGCGGUAAUACGGAGGAUGCAAGCGUUAUCCGGAAUGAUUGGGCGUAAAGGGUUCGCAGGUGGUAGUGAAAGUUUGCUGUUAAAAGUCGGGGCUCAACCCCGAACCGGCGGUGAAAACUACAUAACUAGAGUGCGGUAGGGGCAGAGGGAAUUCCUGGUGUAGCGGUGAAAUGCGUAGAGAUCAGGAAGAACAUCGGUGGCGAAGGCGCUCUGCUAGACCGAAACUGACACUGAGGGACGAAAGCUAGGGGAGCG
This 370-nucleotide ribosomal RNA is filed under the name uncultured cyanobacterium. Its description in RNAcentral is "bacterial SSU rRNA". It matches the Rfam family "Bacterial small subunit ribosomal RNA", at positions 385 to 770 of the family's 1533-position model. The record is from RNAcentral. Lineage: Bacteria; Bacillati; Cyanobacteriota.